AAAAGGUAUUGGGAGAAUGAAUUCACGCUUAAAGCGUAAAAAGUGAAAACGCCAAAAUGACGUUCUCGCCAUUCCCAACUCUAAAUUAGAGGACGCAGGAUUCUAUUUGGGAAAACAGAGAAAACAAGGGAAACAGAACACGCUUCGUCCCUUCACCGCUUCGUCCCUUCGUCCCUUCGUCUAUGUCGCCCUUUCUUCUUCGUCUUCAUCCCCUCAUCUUCGUCUUCAUCUUCAUCCCCUCAUCUUCGUCUUCGUCUUCGUCCCUUCAUCCAAGUCUGAAACAGAAACACGCCCUUCAUCUACGGGAAGCAGAGAAAUUCCUUGCUUCUCUCUUUUGCAAUCUUCCUACACACUCUCUUGGAAGAUCUUGAUUUUGUUUCCCACUCUCUUGGAAGAUCUUGCUGCAAAGCCUUCUGGAAAAUUUGGAACGAAAUUACUCUUUUUCUGCUAUUUAUGUUUAGAUUUGGGUAUGAAGACUAUGGUGUUAUUUGUGUUUAGAUUUGGGGUUUUCUUUAUGCUAACUUUAAUUUCAUUUUUGUUUAUGUCGAUGGUUGAAUUUUUUCUUGUUUUCUGCAAUUGAUCUUGACUAGGAUUGAAUUUUUUCCUUGUUUUCUGCAUUUGGUUAAGUCAAAGGAGCUGGAUCUGUUUUCUGGUUUUAGUUUGCUUUAUAACUCUGAUUUUCUGUUUACUAUGAUUAUAGUAAACGGGCAAGAUUGAUUCUUAAAUUUGGUAAAAUUUUAUGUGAUUCGAUUGAAAUAGUAGGAUGAAACUCUUGUAAACAUCAGUUCUGUCAAACAUUUGGUUUUGGACUAGUUUAGGAAGGAUGAAACUCUUGAAAUAGGAGCUGUUGUUAGAUGGAAUUGACAGAUUGAUUGUUGGCUUUAUAUGUUUUCUGGUUUUAGACGAAACAAUACUUAGUGCAUUUGAGAAUAAAUCUGGACUAGUUUAGGAAGGCUAUUUGGUAGUUUCUAGUUAUGCACUACAUGAUUGAAGGUUGUCAUAAUUUACUUUCUUUAAAAGGAUAUGGCGUCCAAGAAUGUUGAUGGUCAAGAAAAAAUGUCAUGGGCCCCAAGACAUGAGACAAUAUUCAUACAUAUAUUGCAUGAACAUGUGAAGAAUGGUGACUUGCAGACAUCAACUUUUAAAAUGAAAGUUUGGGCAUAAGUAAGUGAUGAGUUGUAUGCACAAUGUGGACAAAAAUGUACUAUUCCACAACUUAAAUCUAAGUUUAAUAGACUGCGACAAGUGCAUCAUGACUUCUCAGAUUUGAUUGAGCAUCGGGAUUUGGGUGGGAUCCUAUUGCAAACACAGUGACUGCCUCAGAGGAUGUUUGGGCAAGUUACUUGAAGAGUAAGCCAAAAGCGAAGCAAUUUCGCACGCAAGGCUUAGAGCACUAUCAACUUUUAGGGGAGAUAUUCAACACUACUACUGCAACUGGGCAAUUGCAUUAUGCCUCUAGUCAACUUCCUCCUAACUCAGAUGAUGAACGUGAGUUAGAAAAUAACUUCCUUAACAUCGGAGUUCACAUCAAUGUUGACUUGGAUGAUGAUGGUGACAACCCUCAUGGAGUGGUAAAGGAAAAAGAAAGUGUGCAACUACUGCUCCACCUGAGCGUCGUCCGAAGAAAUGGGAUAAAAUGAAAUCUUAUUUGGAUGUUUGCAGUGAAGUUAUGAGUCAAAAAUUACAGCGAGAAAAGGAAAAGAGUCUUGAGGCAUCUAGCACCUCUAAGGAGAUGUAUUCGAUUGAAGAAUGCAUAGACAUUGUUGAGACAAUGGGAGACAUUGUUGAGACAAUGGGAGACAUUGAUAACGUACGAUACAUUCAACAAGAUGCUAGAAAAGAUAGUGCUUGUUGAAUGGAGGAAAAUCUUUGUUACAAUGCUAGCAACAAGGAGGAGAGUUGGUUGGCUAGUCUUUAGGAUUACUACUUAUGUUUGUUGUUGAGAGGAUAUUUAGGAAUUGUUCUUGUUAUUAUGUUUGAUGUUUGUGACUUUAGUUUGUAUGCAUAUUUAUGGAUUUUUGUGACUUUAAUUUGUAUGCAUAUUCAUAGAUUUUUGUGAAUUUAAUUUGUAUGCAUAUUUGAAGGUACUAGACAUGUCUACAAGGAAUGAAGACAAUCACUCUGAUAGUGAUUCAGAUCUUGAAGAAAUGGAGCAACAUAUGAUAAUUUGUAUGCAUAUUUAUGAAUAUUGGCAAUCAUAUGUAGACAGAACUCCAUGUCAUAACUCUAUUUUAUCUGGGCAUGAAUA
Molecule: long non-coding RNA, 2248 nt
Organism: Prunus persica (peach)
Lineage: Eukaryota; Viridiplantae; Streptophyta; Magnoliopsida; Rosales; Rosaceae
Exons: 3
Source: RefSeq, a predicted model, not a curated record